AAGUAAUAAUUUAUUAAUUAUUUAGUUAGAUUUUAUAAUUAAUAAAAGUAAUUUUUAUAGUUAAAUUUUAAGUAUAUUUUAUAGAAAAAAUAAUAUUUAUUGUAGUAAAUUAGUAUUGUGAAAGAAAUUUGAAAUAUUAUGAAAAUAAUUUUAUUUAAAAGAAAUAUUAAUUUUAUGUACCUUUUGUAUCAGGGUUUAUUAAAUAAGGUUUAUUUAUAAAUAAAUUUCUCGAAUUUAAAAGAUUUAAUAAAUUAUAAAAGUUAAUGUUGAAUAAUUAUUUUUAAUAAUUUAUUAGUAAUGAAAUGUUAUUCGUUUUUAAAUAUAUCUAGUUUUUUAAGAAAUGAAUUUAAUUCAUAUAUUUUUAAUAUAAAUGGUUAUUUUUGUAAUUAUUUAUUUAUUAAUAUAAAUAUAUUAAGGGAUAAGCUUUAAUUUAAGGUCUAUAAGUUUUAUUUAAAUUAAAUAUAAAUGUAAGGUUAGAAAUAUCUAUUAUUAAUAAGUUUGUUUUAAUUUAUAUUUUUAUUAUAUAAUUUAUUUCUUAUUUAGAUUUUUUAUUAAAAUGAGUAUUUUAAUAAAUAAAAUAUUGGAAUAAUGAUAGAAUUAGUAUAAAUAUUUGUUAAUUUUUAAAAAUUAAUAAAGAUUAAAUUAAGGAAUUCGGCAAAUUUAAUACUCACCUGUUUAACAAAAACAUGUCUUUUUGAUAAUAAUCUAAAGUCUAACCUGCCCACUGAGAAUUUUUGAAGGGCCGCGGUAUUUUGACUGUGCAAAGGUAGCAUAAUCAUUAGUCUUUUAAUUGAAGGCUUGUAUGAAUGGUUGGAUGAGGUAUUAACUGUCUCAAUUUAAUAAAUAAUAGAAUUUUAUUUUUAAGUUAAAAAGCUUAAAUAAUUUUAAAAGACGAGAAGACCCUAUAGAUCUUUAUAUUUAAUUUUUUAAUAAUUUUUUAGUUUAAAUUUAUUUUUAGAAAUUUAAGUAUUGAGUUGGGGUGAUUAAAAAAUUUAAUAAACUUUUUUUUUAUUUUAACAAUAAUUUUUGAAUAAUUGAUCCAUUUUUUGUGAUUAAAAGAUUAAGUUACCUUAGGGAUAACAGCGUAAUUUUUUUGGAGAGUUCUUAUCGAUAAAAAAGAUUGCGACCUCGAUGUUGAAUUAAAGGUUAAUUUUAGGUGUAGAAGUUUAAAAUUUUGGUCUGUUCGACCAUUAAAUCUUUACAUGAUUUGAGUUCAAACCGGCGUGAGCCAGGUUGGUUUCUAUCUUUAAUUUAAUAAAAUAUCUUAGUACGAAAGGACCAGAUAUUUAAAAUAAUUUUUAAAAAUUGAAUAAUAUUA
Molecule: ribosomal RNA, 1318 nt
Filed under: Neochauliodes parasparsus
Lineage: Eukaryota; Metazoa; Arthropoda; Insecta; Megaloptera; Corydalidae
Description: 16S ribosomal RNA
Rfam family: Archaeal large subunit ribosomal RNA (bases 625-1318)
Source: RNAcentral